UGAGUUAGUCGGGUGACCGCGGCUGGUGCAAACCAGUCGAGGAAAGUCGGGACUCCACAGGACAGAGUGCUGGCGCGAGCCAGGUGGGGGCGACCUUACGGACAGUGCAACAGAGAGAAACCGCCGAUGGCUGGGUAACCAGAUCAGGUAAGGGUGAAACGGUGCGGUAAGAGCGCACCAGCAUGCCAGGUGACUGACAUGGCUCGGCAAACCCCAUUCGGAGCAAGGUCAAGCAGAGGAGACGGGCGGUCCGUCCAUCC
Molecule: RNase P RNA, 260 nt
Filed under: Ilumatobacteraceae bacterium
Lineage: Bacteria; Bacillati; Actinomycetota; Acidimicrobiia; Acidimicrobiales; Ilumatobacteraceae
Description: partial RNase P RNA component class A
Rfam family: Bacterial RNase P class A
About the family: Ribonuclease P (RNase P) is a ubiquitous endoribonuclease, found in archaea, bacteria and eukarya as well as chloroplasts and mitochondria. Its best characterised activity is the generation of mature 5'-ends of tRNAs by cleaving the 5'-leader elements of precursor-tRNAs.
Source: RNAcentral